RNAcentral lists this ribosomal RNA (878 nucleotides) under uncultured archaeon. Its description in RNAcentral is "bacterial SSU rRNA". It matches the Rfam family "Archaeal small subunit ribosomal RNA", at positions 462 to 1341 of the family's 1478-position model. The record is from RNAcentral.
CCGCCGCGGUACCCCAGCGCCACAGUGGGAACCACGUUUAUUGGGUCUAAAGCAUCCGUAGCCGGUCUGGCAAAUGCCCUGUGAAAUCGUCCCGCUUAACGGAACGGCGUGCAGGGUAGACUACCAGACUAGGGACCGGGAGAAGCAAACGGUAUUCCUGAGGGAGCGGUAAAAUGUGAUAAUCUCAGGAGGACCACCGAUGGCGAAGGCAGUUUGCUAUAACGGAUCCGACGGUGAGGGAUGAAAGCUAGGGGAGCGAUCCGGAUUAGAUACCCGAGUAGUCCUAGCUGUAAACUCUGUGUGCCAGAUGUUGCGUAAUCUCCGAGAUUGCGCAGUGUCGAAACGAAGGUGUUAAGCACACCACCUGGGAAGUACGGUCGCAAGGCUGAAACUUAAAGGAAUUGGCGGGGGAGCACCACAACAGGUGCGGCGUGCGGUUUAAUCGUAUUCAACGCCGAGAAUCUCACCAGAGGCGACGGCAGAAUGAUGCUCAGUCCGAAGGGCUUAGCUGACGAGCCGAGAGGUGGUGCAUGGCCGCCGUCAGCUCGUGCCGUGAGGUGUCCUGUUAAGUCAGGCAACGAGCGAGACCUGUAUCCAUCGUUGCUAACGCGUUCGUAAGAAUGAGCGAGCACACUAUGGAGACUGCCUGGGAAACCAGGAGGAAGGUGCAGGCUACGGCAGGUCCGUAUGCCCCGAAUCUUCUGGGCUACACGCGCGCAACAAUGGCUGCGACAAUGGGAUGCGACUCCGAAAGGAGAAGCCAAUCCUCGAAACGCAGUCUUAGUGUAGAUUGAGGCUUGUAACUCAGCCUCAUGACACCGGAAUCUGUAGUAAUCGGAGGUUAUCAUCUUCCGGUGAAUUUGUCCCUGCUCCUUGCA